Molecule: microRNA precursor, 238 nt
Filed under: Oryza sativa (Asian cultivated rice)
Lineage: Eukaryota; Viridiplantae; Streptophyta; Magnoliopsida; Poales; Poaceae
Description: miR5337 stem-loop (osa-MIR5337a)
Source: miRBase by way of RNAcentral
CCUUCAUUUCAAAUUACUUGUCGUUCUAGCUUUGUCCUUAAACAUGUAUAUCUUUGACCAUCAAUUUUUAAAAACUCAUAUGGUUUAACAUCAUAUGAUUUUUUUUUAGAUUCACUGACAAAUACUUUAAUAAAUACAACUCAUAUUUUGAACUAUACGGAUUUCUAAAAAUUGAUGGUCAAAGAUAUACAUGCUUGACUUAGGACAAAGCUAGAACAAAAAGUAUUUGAGUACUAGA